GAUGAACGCUAGCGGCAGGCCUAAUACAUGCAAGCUGAACGGCAAGAUUGGUAGCAAUACUGAUCCUAGAGUAGCGUAAGGGUGCGUAACACGUAUGCAAUCUACCCGCAACAGGAGGAUAGCUCUCCGAAAGGGGAAUUAAGACUCCAUAAUAUCAUUUGAGGGCAUCUGAAGAUGAUUAAACUACAAGGGGUUGUGGAUGAGCAUGCGUCUGAUUAGUUAGUUGGCGGGUAACGGCCCACCAAGACAAUGAUCAGGUAGGGGAACUGAGA
Molecule: ribosomal RNA, 272 nt
Filed under: uncultured bacterium
Lineage: Bacteria
Description: partial 16S ribosomal RNA
Rfam family: Bacterial small subunit ribosomal RNA
Source: RNAcentral